Molecule: long non-coding RNA, 1039 nt
Filed under: Struthio camelus australis
Lineage: Eukaryota; Metazoa; Chordata; Aves; Struthioniformes; Struthionidae
Description: lncRNA (ENSSCUG00000015521.1)
Source: RNAcentral
UUACUUCAAAGUACUUCUGGUCUGGUCCCAUGAAUUAAACAUACAUUAGUGACAGGAGCAUGUUAGGUGCACUCAUAGAGUGCAUCUUCUGACUUAGUUUCAUCCAAAAGGAAACCAGUGCUGGAUACUGAAACUGGUCCAUGAAGCAAACCAAGCUCAGUAGUUGGAGGUGGUUAGGAGAUUCACUUCAAAAGUACACACCCAAACGAAAACUCUAAAGGAGAUACAGACAGCGUAAGAACGAGAAGAGGCUGUGAUCUAAAACACAGCACUGGUGGUCCCCUGCUCAUCAUCCUGGUUGUUCGUAUUCAAGCCAAAGGAGACUAGUUCUUCUCAUUUACUGUAAAGGACAAAUGGGCUGGGAAUUCAGCUAAUGUUUGAGAAGGAAACACCACUUUCUGAGCUAGUCAUAUAGAAACCCUCUCCAGUCCGUGGAGAGAAGGGAGCACUUUAAAGGUGUGAUUCAUCUCUCCCUAAGGUGGAAUAAAACAGGUGAAAUCAAUCAUACCCUGGAAGAGCCUAUUUCUGCCUGGUGGCACCAAAGGAAGUCUAGACAAAUGUCUCGGGAGAGCUGAAUCCCACCUUUGCUAGGUAAGUCAGAGCUCUGAAGUUGUUUCUGUAGAUAGGCCCUUCUCUAAGUUAAGGACCACAGUGUGUACAUUCAUUGUUCAAAAUGAGCCCUGCAUGAGUAUUCAUCUCAUUCAGCCACUGGGAAAUCGUCCCCUGAGAAUUCAUUCUUCUUGACUAAGUACUAGGUCGGGGAUUGUGAUGAGGAGGUGAAAGCAGUGCUGCAGAAGUGUUCUUUGUAAACAUAAAUAGGUUUUGAGAUGGCAAGGUGCCAUGCUGAAAAAGCAUCGUUUGUAUAAGACCACUAAAACUUUGUUUUAAACGAUGCUUUGUUUUUCCCACAGAUGUCGGUUUCACCAGCCCAAAGGAGCACCAGGUAGUAAUGAAUCUUGCCCUGAAAUUAUCUCAAGCCAGCACAAUCAAGCUACAAAACACAGUCUAGGAGAUGACAAACGUGACUGAAAGACUGAAG